GCGUACCCCUCAACCCCCGAUCUUGUCUGAUCGCGCGGGCUUGGACCGUGGCCGCACCGGCCGGCGCAUACUGAGCGUCUGGCCCGGCCGAAUGCAUGCCAAGCGCCUUUACUUUGUGC
RNAcentral lists this ribosomal RNA (119 nucleotides) under Agaricostilbomycetes sp. TY-247. RNAcentral's name for it is "partial internal transcribed spacer 2". The record is from RNAcentral. Lineage: Eukaryota; Fungi; Basidiomycota; Agaricostilbomycetes.